AGAUUGAACGCUGGCGGCAUGCCUUACACAUGCAAGUCGAACGCGAAAGCGGGGCAACCCGCAAGUAGAGUGGCGAACGGGUGAGUAAUACAUCGGAACAUAUCCAGUAGCGGGGGAUAACCUGUCGAAAGAUAGGCUAAUACCGCAUACGAUCUACGGAUGAAAGCGGGGGACCGCAAGGCCUCGCACUAUUGGAGUGGCCGAUGUCGGAUUAGCUAGUUGGUGGGGUAAAAGCCUACCAAGGCAACGAUCCGUAGCUGGUCUGAGAGGAUGAUCAGCCACAUUGGGACUGAGACACGGCCCAAACUCCUACGGGAGCAGCAGUGGGAAUAUUGGACAAUGGGCAAAGCCUGAUCCAGCCAUGCCGCGUGAGUGAUGAAGGCCCUAAGGGUUGUAAAG
This 399-nucleotide ribosomal RNA is filed under the name uncultured soil bacterium. Its description in RNAcentral is "bacterial SSU rRNA". It matches the Rfam family "Bacterial small subunit ribosomal RNA", at positions 26 to 430 of the family's 1533-position model. The record is from RNAcentral.